UACGGAAGGCAGCAGUGGGGAAUAUUGCACAAUGGGCGCAAGCCUGAUGCAGCCAUGCCGCGUGUAUGAAGAAGGCCUUCGGGUUGUAAAGUACUUUCAGUCGUGAGGAAGGUGUUAAGGUUAAUAACCUUAGCAAUUGACGUUAGCGACAGAAGAAGCACCGGCUAACUCCGUGCCAGCAGCCGCGGUAAUACGGAGGGUGCGAGCGUUAAUCGGAAUUACUGGGCGUAAAGGGCACGCAGGCGGUUAAUUAAGUUGGAUGUGAAAUCCCCGGGCUUAACCUGGGAAUGGCAUUCAAGACUGGUUAGCUAGAGUCUUGUAGAGGGGGUAGAAUUCCAUGUGUAGCGGUGAAAUGCGUAGAGAUGUGGAGGAAUACCGGUGGCGAAGGCGGCCCCUGGGACAAGACUGACGCUCAUGUGCGAAAGCGUGGGGAGCAAACGAGGGAUUAGAUACC
This 454-nucleotide ribosomal RNA is filed under the name uncultured bacterium. RNAcentral describes it as "bacterial SSU rRNA". It matches the Rfam family "Bacterial small subunit ribosomal RNA", at positions 340 to 786 of the family's 1533-position model. The record is from RNAcentral.